CGGGGUAUGGUGUAGCGGUAACAUGUAUGCAUGGGGUGCAUAAGACGCUGGGUUCGACUCCCAGUACCCCGA
This 72-nucleotide transfer RNA is filed under the name Candidatus Gottesmanbacteria bacterium. Its description in RNAcentral is "tRNA-Pro". It matches the Rfam family "tRNA". From Rfam's summary of the family: Transfer RNA (tRNA) molecules are approximately 80 nucleotides in length. Lineage: Bacteria; Candidatus Gottesmaniibacteriota. The record is from RNAcentral.